GUAAAAUAUAAAUCAUUUGAUUUAGAAGAAUUAAUAUAUAUUUAGUUGAGGAGAGAAAUGAGAUGUGGAAAUAUAUGAAUAUUUUGAUAUCUGAAACACCUGAAUGACUACUACUAUUAAUACUUGUGUACAAACAGAUCUUGGUUUGGAAACCAUUGAUUUACCAGGAAGUCCAGCAAAGUGACGACUAUCCAACAUAAACCAUACUGUACCUACGAUUUACCAUGUACCGUGAGCCGAUACCGGUGCGUUCGACUUUCUUCACAAACCGACGGAGCGAAAUUUUAAUGAGAUAGCUGGUAAAAGAUUUACUUUUUAUCAAGAACUAAAAGAUUUAUAAAGUAGUAUAUAGCAACUAAAGAACAUCCCAGGACACAUGGUGGUAAUCCGGAACAUACAGUAGAAAUCCAGGACAUACAGUAGAAAUCCGGG
Long non-coding RNA from Ctenocephalides felis (cat flea), 432 nucleotides. RefSeq lists it as uncharacterized. The record is from RefSeq and is a predicted model, not a curated record. The transcript is spliced from 3 exons. Lineage: Eukaryota; Metazoa; Arthropoda; Insecta; Siphonaptera; Pulicidae.